UACGGAGGAUCCAAGCGUUAUCCGGAAUCAUUGGGUUUAAAGGGUCCGUAGGCGGCCUUAUAAGUCAGUGGUGAAAUCUCACGGCUCAACCGUGAAAUUGCCAUUGAUACUGUAGGGCUUGAAUGGCUGUGAAGUAACUAGAAUAUGUAGUGUAGCGGUGAAAUGCUUAGAUAUUACAUGGAAUACCGAUUGCGAAGGCAGGUUACUAACAGUUUAUUGACGCUGAUGGACGAAAGCGUGGGUAGCGAACAGG
Molecule: ribosomal RNA, 253 nt
Filed under: uncultured bacterium
Lineage: Bacteria
Description: partial 16S ribosomal RNA
Rfam family: Bacterial small subunit ribosomal RNA
Source: RNAcentral